AGAGUUUGAUCCUGGCUCAGAACGAACGCUGGCGGCAGGCCUAACACAUGCAAGUCGAACGAGAAGCCACCUUCGGGUGGUGGACAGUGGCAGACGGGUGAGUAACGCGUGGGAACGUGCCUUUCGGUUCGGGAUAACCCAGGGAAACUUGGACUAAUACCGGAUACGCCCUUCGGGGGAAAGAUUUAUUGCCGAAAGAUCGGCCCGCGUCGGAUUAGCUAGUUGGUGAGGUAAAAGCUCACCAAGGCGACGAUCCGUAGCUGGUCUGAGAGGAUGACCAGCCACACUGGGACUGAGACACGGCCCAGACUCCUACGGGAGGCAGCAGUGGGGAAUAUUGGACAAUGGGCGCAAGCCUGAUCCAGCCAUGCCGCGUGGGUGAAGAAGGCCUUAGGGUUGUAAAUCCCUUUCAGCGGGGAAGAUAAUGACGGUACCCGCAGAAGAAGCCCCGGCUAACUCCGUGCCAGCAGCCGCGGUAAUACGGAGGGGGCUAGCGCUGUUCGGAAUUACUGGGCGUAAAGCGCGCGUAGGCGGACCUGUAAGUCGGGGGUGAAAGCCCGAGGCUCAACCUCGGAACUGCCUCCGAUACUACAGGUCUUGAGUCCGAGAGAGGUGAGUGGAAUUCCUAGUGUAGAGGUGAAAUUCGUAGAUAUUAGGAAGAACACCAGUGGCGAAGGCGGCUCACUGGCUCGGUACUGA
This 699-nucleotide ribosomal RNA is filed under the name uncultured bacterium. RNAcentral describes it as "bacterial SSU rRNA". It matches the Rfam family "Bacterial small subunit ribosomal RNA", at positions 8 to 743 of the family's 1533-position model. The record is from RNAcentral.